This 822-nucleotide ribosomal RNA is filed under the name uncultured bacterium. RNAcentral's name for it is "bacterial SSU rRNA". It matches the Rfam family "Bacterial small subunit ribosomal RNA", at positions 1 to 877 of the family's 1533-position model. The record is from RNAcentral.
UAGAGUUUGAUCCUGGCUCAGAACGAACGCUGGCGGCAGGCUUAACACAUGCAAGUCGAACGCACCUUUCGGGGUGAGUGGCAGACGGGUGAGUAACGCGUGGGAACGUGCCCUUCAGUUCGGAAUAACCCAGGGAAACUUGGGUUAAUACCGGAUACGUGCGAGAGCAGAAAGAUUUAUCGCUGAAGGAUCGGCCCGCGUCUGAUUAGCUGGUUGGUGAGGUAAUGGCUCACCAAGGCGACGAUCAGUAGCUGGUCUGAGAGGAUGAUCAGCCACAUUGGGACUGAGACGCGGCCCAAACUCCUACGGGAGGCAGCAGUGGGGAAUAUUGGACAAUGGGCGCAAGCCUGAUCCAGCCAUGCCGCGUGAGUGAUGAAGGCCUUAGGGUUGUAAAGCUCUUUCGUCCGGGACGAUAAUGACGGUACCGGAAGAAGAAGCCCCGGCUAACUUCGUGCCAGCAGCCGCGGUAAUACGAAGGGGGCUAGCGUUGUUCGGAAUCACUGGGCGUAAAAGGCGCGUAGGCGGCUUUAUAAGUCGGGGGUGAAAGCCUGUGGCUCAACCACAGAAUUGCCUUCGAUACUGUAGAGCUUGAGACCGGAAGAGGUUAGUGGAACUGCGAGUGUAGAGGUGAAAUUCGUAGAUAUUCGCAAGAACACCAGUGGCGAAGGCGGCUGACUGGUCCGGAUCUGACGCUGAGGCGCGAAAGCGUGGGGAGCAAACAGGAUUAGAUACCCUGGUAGUCCACGCCGUAACGAUGAAUGCCAGCCGUUGGGCAGCUUGCUGCUCAGUGGCGCAGCUAACGCUUUAAGCAUUCCGCCUGGG